CCUACGGGAGGCAGCAGUGGGGAAUAUUGCACAAUGGGGGGAACCCUGAUGCAGCGACGCCGCGUGGGUGAAGGAGUAUUUCGGUAUGUAAAGCCCUAUCAGCAGGGAAGAACAAUGACGGUACCUGACUAAGAAGCACCGGCUAAAUACGUGCCAGCAGCCGCGGUAAUACGUAUGGUGCAAGCGUUAUCCGGAUUUACUGGGUGUAAAGGGAGCGCAGGCGGCGCGUUAAGCCUGGUGUGAAAGUCCGCGGCCCAACCGCGGGACUGCAUUGGGAACUGGCGCGCUGGAGUGCCGGAGGGGUAGGCGGAAGUCCUAGUGUAGCGGUGAAAUGCGUAGAUAUUAGGAGGAACACCAGUGGCGAAGGCGGCCUACUGGACGGUGACUGACGCUGAGGCUCGAAAGCGUGGGGAGCAAACAGGAUUAGAUACCCGUGUAGUC
This 441-nucleotide ribosomal RNA is filed under the name uncultured bacterium. Its description in RNAcentral is "partial 16S ribosomal RNA". It matches the Rfam family "Bacterial small subunit ribosomal RNA", at positions 338 to 795 of the family's 1533-position model. The record is from RNAcentral.